AGUGAGCGAAUCCCAAAAAGUGCGUCGUAGUCCGGAUUGGAGUCUGCAACUCGACUCCAUGAAGUCGGAAUCGCUAGUAAUCGUGGAUCAGAAUGCCACGGUGAAUACGUUCCCGGGCCUUGUACACACCGCCCGUCACACCAUGGGAGUGGGCUGCAAAAGAAGUAGGUAGUUUAACCUUCGGGGGGACGCUUACCACUUUGUGGUUCAUGACUGGGGUGAAGUCGUAACAAGGUAGCGCUAGGGGAACCUGGCGCUGGAUCACCUCCUUA
RNAcentral lists this ribosomal RNA (272 nucleotides) under Vibrio alginolyticus. Its description in RNAcentral is "partial 16S ribosomal RNA". It matches the Rfam family "Bacterial small subunit ribosomal RNA", at positions 1262 to 1533 of the family's 1533-position model. RNAcentral also lists the same sequence under 2 other names. Lineage: Bacteria; Pseudomonadati; Pseudomonadota; Gammaproteobacteria; Vibrionales; Vibrionaceae. The record is from RNAcentral.